ACAAAAAUACACAUAUUGUGAGCUCGAUGAGUAGGGCGGGACACGUGGUAUCCUGUCUGAAUAUGGGGGGACCAUCCUCCAAGGCUAAAUACUCCUGACUGACCGAUAGUGAACCAGUACCGUGAGGGAAAGGCGAAAAGAACCCCGGCGAGGGGAGUGAAAAAGAACCUGAAACCGUGUACGUACAAGCAGUGGGAGCACGCUUAGGCGUGUGACUGCGUACCUUUUGUAUAAUGGGUCAGCGACUUAUAUUCUGUAGCAAGGUUAACCGAAUAGGGGAGCCGAAGGGAAACCGAGUCUUAACUGGGCGUUAAGUUGCAGGGUAUAGACCCGAAACCCGGUGAUCUAGCCAUGGGCAGGUUGAAGGUUGGGUAACACUAACUGGAGGACCGAACCGACUAAUGUUGAAAAAUUAGCGGAUGACUUGUGGCUGGGGGUGAAAGGCCAAUCAAACCGGGAGAUAGCUGGUUCUCCCCGAAAGCUAUUUAGGUAGCGCCUCGUGAAUUCAUCUCCGGGGGUAGAGCACUGUUUCGGCAAGGGGGUCAUCCCGACUUACCAACCCGAUGCAAACUGCGAAUACCGGAGAAUGUUAUCACGGGAGACACACGGCGGGUGCUAACGUCCGUCGUGAAGAGGGAAACAACCCAGACCGCCAGCUAAGGUCCCAAAGUCAUGGUUAAGUGGGAAACGAUGUGGGAAGGCCCAGACAGCCAGGAUGUUGGCUUAGAAGCAGCCAUCAUUUAAAGAAAGCGUAAUAGCUCACUGGUCGAGUCGGCCUGCGCGGAAGAUGUAACGGGGCUAAACCAUGCACCGAAGCUGCGGCAGCGAUGCUUAUGCGUUGUUGGGUAGGGGAGCGUUCUGUAAGCCUGCGAAGGUGUGCUGUGAGGCAUGCUGGAGGUAUCAGAAGUGCGAAUGCUGACAUAAGUAACGAUAAAGCGGGUGAAAAGCCCGCUCGCCGGAAGACCAAGGGUUCCUGUCCAACGUUAAUCGGGGCAGGGUGAGUCGACCCCUAAGGCGAGGCCGAAAGGCGUAGUCGAUGGGAAACAGGUUAAUAUUCCUGUACUUGGUGUUACUGCGAAGGGGGGACGGAGAAGGCUAUGUUGGCCGGGCGACGGUUGUCCCGGUUUAAGCGUGUAGGCUGGUUUUCCAGGCAAAUCCGGAAAAUCAAGGCUGAGGCGUGAUGACGAGGCACUACGGUGCUGAAGCAACAAAUGCCCUGCUUCCAGGAAAAGCCUCUAAGCAUCAGGUAACAUCAAAUCGUACCCCAAACCGACACAGGUGGUCAGGUAGAGAAUACCAAGGCGCUUGAGAGAACUCGGGUGAAGGAACUAGGCAAAAUGGUGCCGUAACUUCGGGAGAAGGCACGCUGAUAUGUAGGUGAAGUCCCUUGCGGAUGGAGCUGAAAUCAGUCGAAGAUACCAGCUGGCUGCAACUGUUUAUUAAAAACACAGCACUGUGCAAACACGAAAGUGGACGUAUACGGUGUGACGCCUGCCCGGUGCCGGAAGGUUAAUUGAUGGGGUCAGCGCAAGCGAAGCUCUUGAUCGAAGCCCCGGUAAACGGCGGCCGUAACUAUAACGGUCCUAAGGUAGCGAAAUUCCUUGUCGGGUAAGUUCCGACCUGCACGAAUGGCGUAAUGAUGGCCAGGCUGUCUCCACCCGAGACUCAGUGAAAUUGAACUCGCUGUGAAGAUGCAGUGUACCCGCGGCAAGACGGAAAGACCCCGUGAACCUUUACUAUAGCUUGACACUGAACAUUGAGCCUUGAUGUGUAGGAUAGGUGGGAGGCUUUGAAGUG
This 1797-nucleotide ribosomal RNA is filed under the name Shigella sonnei. RNAcentral describes it as "partial 23S ribosomal RNA". It matches the Rfam family "Bacterial large subunit ribosomal RNA", at positions 379 to 2164 of the family's 2925-position model. Lineage: Bacteria; Pseudomonadati; Pseudomonadota; Gammaproteobacteria; Enterobacterales; Enterobacteriaceae. The record is from RNAcentral.